Non-coding RNA from Cinara cedri, 1135 nucleotides. The record is from the annotation of a GenBank genome assembly. NCBI's taxonomy places the organism in Eukaryota, Metazoa, Arthropoda, Insecta, Hemiptera, Aphididae.
CGCGGACUUUGGCGAAAAAAAACUACAAGUAUAUAAUAUUAUGUUAUGAUGUAUAUACACCUAUUAGCUGUUGCUAUUAUUAUUAUACUCCGGCCGGUUUACCGGUUUCGGAAAAUUAAUAAUUCGCACACGGAACGCGAACGCAUCACGCGAACCGCGUUAUUGGUCACGGGCGCGGAAAAAAUAUUUGAAAAAAAAAAAAAAAAAAAUCACGAAAAUACAUUAUUAAUUAACCUCGAAACUGCAGCACGUGACGUGAGUCAACCGAUGCAAUUUUAAAUUCCUUUUUUCUUCGCUUACCUGUACUUAUAAUAUCGUUGGCAAUAUUAUAUUACGUACCUAUACACACUACCUACACUUCUUUGUACAUGUAUGCGUUGUCUCGAAUUUUCGCACAGCGAUUUUCAAUUUUACGCAUGAAUUUUCCGCGAUUAAUCCGCAAAAAAAAGUUUACCCCAAACGAUAUUUUCGUUUCCUGACUUAGCCUUGAAGAGAGAGGAGGAUAUGGGAUUUAAAUUUUUUUGGAGACGCUCGAUUUUUUCGUAUAAGGUAAUUUCAUAAAACACACAUUCUAUUUUACUUUACGUUUUAUCAAUUCGAAGAAUAUAAAUUCAAGUUUUUUUUUUACGCACGAUAAUUAGGUAUACUUUUUUUUAUCUCAACUGUUUUGUGACGAAACAGCAAAUAGCUAAUCCAUUAUUAGCUCUAUGAUACGCACACAAUGUUCACCCAUGGGCCAUUAAAAUGUCAACGAUGAAUUCCGAAGAGAGUAGAAAUAAUACAUAUUUGACUGCGAACGUUUAAAAACAAAAAAAAUUGAAAACAAAUUCCAUGCGUUUCUAGAUCGUUAUAACGUCGGUAUUUUCGAUGCUAUUAAUAAUUAUUGGAGCGUUAUGACAAUAAUAUGAUAUUAAUCGAUCUCCCUGCCCGAUGUCGAUAUGCUUGAUAUCGAUUAUGUUUCUAUCGUUGACCAUGACUUAUUAUUCGAUAUAUCAACAAUUUCGCCGAGUAAAUAUUAUAUUUGCUAUUCACAUUAAAGCUGCUUUCUAAACGGCAAUCGCGGAUACCUAAACAAAGUCAAAAUAAAACAAUUUAAAAAGGGCCGCGAUCUAUUCUCCAUAUCCUCCCUCCCACA